AUAUUAAGGGUAUAUGGUGGAUGCCUAGACUUGAAAAGCCGAUGAAGGACGUAGCAGCCUGCGAUAAGCUCCGGGGAGGCGGCAAGCAACCUUUGAUCCGGAGAUGUCCGAAUGGGGAAACCCAAUGUCGCUAAAUAAGCGGUAUUGUUCGUUCUUGUUGAACGAAAGUUAGACAUGAACGAAUGGGAACCUGGGGAAUUGAAACAUCUUAGUACCCGGAGGAAAAUAAAUCGAAUGAGAUUCCCUAAGUAGUGGCGAGCGAAAGGGGAAAAUUUCGUUUCUUGCUUUUGUAAGAGACGGAACGCCCAAACCGUGUUGACAUGACCAUCUGGUGAAGCGCCGAGCAAUCGGCGUGUAGCUAUGUGAGAAACGGGUGCAAGCUCAAUAUGUCUGCGCGGGGUAAUGAGAAAGUACUUUUUUUCUUCUUGCAGAGAAAGAAUAAGGCAAAUGCGUACUUGUGACUUCGGUGGGCAUCAUCAUGCUUGAUGGUACCUGCUCGUCAUGCGUACUCCAAUUACUAGCGGAAUCCACUGGAAAGUGGAGCCAUAGAACGUGAUAGCCGCGUACGCGAAAGUAAUCAAACCUUAUUGUAUUUUUCUCGAGUAACAUAGGACCCGUGAAAUCCUGUGUGAAGGUGUCCCGACUACGGGAUAAGGCUAAAUACUUUUCAAGAUCGAUAGUGAACAAGUACCGUGAGGGAAAGGUGAAAAGCACCCCGAAAGGGGAAUGAAAUAGUUUCUGAAACCAUAUACUUACAACAAGUCAGAGCCCGUCCAACCCGCAAGGGAGUGGGUGGGUGAUGGCGUUCCUAUUGAAGAAUGAGCCAACGAGUUCUCUCAACCAUGUACGGUUAAGCCCGAUAGGGCGGAGCCAUAGUGAAAGCGAGCGUUAAAAGCGCGCGUCCAGUCUUUAUGACUGGACAUAUAUGGUGAGAGAGACCCGAAACCGGGUGAUCUAGCCAUGGCCAGGGUGAGUCCAGAGUAAAAUCUGGAGGAGGCCCGAACGCACCAGCCGUGCAACACUGGGCGAUGAGCUGUGGCUAGCGGAGAAAUUCCAAUCGAACUCGGCAAUAGCUGGUUCUCCCCGAAACAGUUUUAGGACUGGCUCCGUAUUCAGCCCCAAGGGGUAGAGCACUGGAUGGAGAAGGGUGGCGCAAGCCUACCUUUUCUAAUCAAACUCCGAAUACUUGGGAUCCGCUCUUGAUCUAAAAUCAAGAAGGUAACGGAUACGGAAGUUAGAGCAUGGGGGCUAAGCUCCAUCGCUCAAAAGGGAAACAGCCCAGACCUUAAUCUAAGGUCCCAAAGUGCGUGUUAAGUGUAAAAGGAAGUGAGGCGACGAAGACAACCAGGAGGUUGGCUUAGAAGCAGCCAUCCUUUAAAGAAAGCGUAACAGCUCACUGGUCAAGUUUCUUUGCGCCGAAAAUGUACCGGGGCUCAAACACGCCACCGAAGAUAAGGAUCAUUCCGAUUAUAUCGGAGUGGUGGUAGGGGAGCGUUCUUUAUGCAGCGAAGCUUUGAUGUGAAUUAAGGUGGAGCGUAAAGAAGUGAGAAUGUUGGCAUGAGUAGCAGAAAACACGGUGAAAAUCCGUGACACCGAAAGCCUAAGGUUUCCUGGGCCACGAUGAUCGUCCCAGGGUUAGGCGGCCCUAAGUGUGCCUCAUUUUUGAGGCAUGCGAUGGACAGCAGGUUAAUAUUCCUGCUCUUCAGUACGUUUUCGUUUUACUGACGCAUCAUAAAGGUUUUGGCGUGUUUUGGUUAUACACGUUUCCGGCGCAAGUCGGGACAAGGCAAAGCUCUCGGGCUCAAGCCAAGCAGAGUUUGAGUGGUGCCAAGAAAAGGUAAAACGAGUUAAACGUGCUGGAUCCGUACCGCAAACCGACACAGGUAGGCGGGAUGAGAAUUCUAAGGUGAACGAGACAACUCUGGUUUAGGAACUCGGCAAAACAACGGCCGUAACUUCGGGAUAAGGCCUCCCCCCAAAGCUUGCAAGAGUGAAGGGGGGCGCAGUAAACGAUCUCAGGCGACUGUUUACCAAAAACACAGGUCCCUGCUCAAACCGAAAGGUGAGGUAUAGGGGCUGACCCCUGGCCAGUGUCCGAAGGUUAAGGGGAUGGGUGAUUUCCGACGCAAGUCGGGAUGAGCCUUGAACUGAAGCCCGGAUGAACGCCGGCGAUAACUAUAAUCGUCCUAAGGUAGCGAAAUUCCUUGUCGGGUAAGUUCCGACCCGCACGAAUGGGGUAACGGUCUGAGAACUCUCUCAACCAGGGACUCGGCGAAAUUUCAUAAGUAGUGAAGAUGCUACUUACCCGCGGCUAGACGAAAAGACCCCGUGAAGCUUUACUACAACCUGGUAUUGAAGUACGGAAUGCGCUGUUUAGCAUAGGUGGGAGGCUUUGAGUCCGGAUCGCCAGAUUCGGAGGAGCCGACAGUGAAAUACCACCCUGUGAGUUUUGUGCAUCUAAUCCUGAUGUAAAUCAGGAAACAGUAUCAGGCGGGUAGUUUAUCUGGGGCGGAUGCCUCCAAAAAAGUAACGGAGGCGCUCAAAGGUUGGCUUAGCUCGGAUGGAAAUCGAGCUUUAACGCGCAAAGGCAUAAGCCAGCUUUACUGCGAGAGGGACAACUCGAGCAGUCGCGAAAGCGGGACUUAGUGAACCGAUGCGCCCAUGUAGGAGGCGCAAAGAUCAACGGAUAAAAGUUACUCCGGGGAUAACAGGCUGAUCUCCUCCAAGAGUCCACAUCGACGAGGAGGUUUGGCACCUCGAUGUCGGCCCGUCGCAUCCUGGGGGUGAAGAAGCUCCCAAGGGUUUGGCUGUUCGCCAAUUAAAGCGGCACGCGAGCUGGGUUCAGAACGUCGUAAGACAGUUCGGUCUCCUAUCUGUCGCGGGCGUAAAGAUUUGAGGGGGCGCUUCCCUAGUACGAGAGGACCGGGAAGCACGAACCUCUGGUGUACCAGUUGUUCCACCAGGAGCAUUGCUGGGUAGCUACGUUCGGUUAGGAUAAGCGCUGAAAGCAUCUAAGCGCGAAGCCGUCCCCAAGAUUAGAUCUUAGAAAUCCUUCAAGAUUAGAAGGUUGAUAGGCUCUAGGUGGAAGCUCCGCAAGGAGUGUAGCCGAGGAGUACUAAUCAU
This 3123-nucleotide ribosomal RNA is filed under the name Candidatus Jacksonbacteria bacterium RIFCSPHIGHO2_02_FULL_44_25. RNAcentral's name for it is "bacterial LSU rRNA". It matches the Rfam family "Bacterial large subunit ribosomal RNA". The record is from RNAcentral. RNAcentral also lists the same sequence under 1 other name. Lineage: Bacteria; Candidatus Jacksoniibacteriota.